AGGAGCCGAAGAAGGACGGGACUAACACCGAUAUGCUUUGGGGAGCUGUACGUAAGCGUUGAUCCAGAGAUUUCCGAAUGGGGGAACCCACUAUCUUUAGUCGGAUAGUAUCCUUACGUGAAUACAUAGCGUGAGGAAGGCAGACCCAGGGAACUGAAACAUCUAAGUACCUGGAGGAAGAGAAAGAAAAAUCGAUUUCCUGAGUAGCGGCGAGCGAAACGGAAAGAGCCCAAACCAAGAAGCUUGCUUCUUGGGGUUGUAGGACACUCUAUACGGAGUUACAAAAGAAAGUUAUAAAUGAAGCGGUCUGGAAAGGCCCGCCAAAGACGGUAACAGCCCGGUAGUUGAAAUGGCUUUCCCUCCAGAGUGGAUCCUGAGUACGGCGGAACACGUGAAAUUCCGUCGGAAUCCGGGAGGACCAUCUCCCAAGGCUAAAUACUCCCUAGUGACCGAUAGUGAACCAGUACCGUGAGGGAAAGGUGAAAAGCACCCCGGAAGGGGAGUGAAACAGUUCCUGAAACCGUGUGCCUACAAGUAGUUAGAGCCCGUUAAUGGGUGAUAGCGUGCCUUUUGUAGAAUGAACCGGCGAGUUACGAUUUGUUGCAAGGUUAAGCGGAAAAAGCGGAGCCGUAGCGAAAGCGAGUCUGAAUAGGGCGCAUAAGUAACAGGUCGUAGACCCGAAACCAGGUGAUCUACCCAUGUCCAGGAUGAAGGUAAGGUAAUACUUACUGGAGGUCCGAACCCACGCACGUUGAAAAGUGCGGGGAUGAGGUGUGGGUAGCGGAGAAAUUCCAAUCGAACUUGGAGAUAGCUGGUUCUCUCCGAAAUAGCUUUAGGGCUAGCCUCGAGGUAAAGAGUCAUGGAGGUAGAGCACUGUUUGGACUAGGGGCCCUUCUCGGGUUACCGAAUUCAGAUAAACUCCGAAUGCCAUGUACUUAUACUCGGGAGUCAGACUGCGAGUGAUAAGAUCCGUAGUCGAAAGGGAAACAGCCCAGACCACCAGUUAAGGUCCCCAAAUAUAUGUUAAGUGGAAAAGGAUGUGGGGUUGCUUAGACAACCAGGAUGUUGGCUUAGAAGCAGCCACCAUUGAAAGAGUGCGUAAUAGCUCACUGGUCGAGUGACCCCGCGCCGAAAAUGUACCGGGGCUAAACAUAUUACCGAAA
This 1163-nucleotide ribosomal RNA is filed under the name Listeria monocytogenes. Its description in RNAcentral is "partial 23S ribosomal RNA". It matches the Rfam family "Bacterial large subunit ribosomal RNA", at positions 41 to 1199 of the family's 2925-position model. The record is from RNAcentral. Lineage: Bacteria; Bacillati; Bacillota; Bacilli; Caryophanales; Listeriaceae.